This 405-nucleotide ribosomal RNA is filed under the name uncultured bacterium. Its description in RNAcentral is "partial 16S ribosomal RNA". It matches the Rfam family "Bacterial small subunit ribosomal RNA", at positions 29 to 526 of the family's 1533-position model. The record is from RNAcentral.
AUUGAACGCUGGCGGCAGGCCUAACACAUGCAAGUCGAACGAGUGGCGGACGGGUGAGUAAUGUCUGGGAAACUGCCUGCUGGAGGGGGUUAAAUACUGGAAACGGUAGCUAAUACCGCAUACCAUCAGAUGUGCCCAGAUGGGAUUAGCUAGUUGGUGGGGUAACGGCUCACCAAGGCGACGAUCCCUAGCUGGUCUGAGAGGAUGACCAGACACACUGGAACUGAGACACGGUCCAGACUCCGACGGGAGGGAGCAGUGGGGAAUAUUGAACAGUGGGCGCAAGCCUGAAGCAGCCAGGCCGGGUGUAUGAAGAAGGCCUUCGGGUUGUAAAGUACUUUCAGCGGGGAGGCGUUACACGCAGAAGAAGCACCGGCUAACUCCGUGCAAGCAGCCGCGGAAUAC